Molecule: ribosomal RNA, 780 nt
Filed under: uncultured Nocardioides sp.
Lineage: Bacteria; Bacillati; Actinomycetota; Actinomycetes; Propionibacteriales; Nocardioidaceae
Description: bacterial SSU rRNA
Rfam family: Bacterial small subunit ribosomal RNA
Source: RNAcentral
AGCGGAAAGGCCACUUCGGUGGUACUCGAGCGGCGAACGGGUGAGUAACACGUGAGUAAUCUGCCCCUGGCUUCGGGAUAGCCACCGGAAACGGUGAUUAAUACCGGAUAUGACAGACCCUCGCAUGGGGGUGUGUGGAAAGUUUUUCGGCCAGGGAUGUGCUCGCGGCCUAUCAGCUUGAUGGUGAGGUAAUGGCUCACCAUGGCUUCGACGGGUAGCCGGCCUGAGAGGGUGACCGGCCACACUGGGACUGAGACACGGCCCAGACUCCUACGGGAGGCAGCAGUGGGGAAUAUUGGACAAUGGGCGGAAGCUCGAUCCAGCAACGCCGCGUGAGGGAUGACGGCCUUCGGGUUGUAAACCUCUUUCAGUACCGACGAAGCGCAAGUGACGGUAGGUACAGAAGAAGCACCGGCCAACUACCGUGCAGCCGCCGCGGUAAUACGUAGGGUGCGAGCGUUGUCCGGAAUUAUUGGGCGUAAAGGGCUCGUAGGCGGUUUGUCGCGUCGGGAGUGAAAACGCCGUGCUUAACACGGCGCUUGCUUCCGAUACGGGCAGACUAGAGGUAUUCAGGGGAGAACGGAAUUCCUGGUGUAGCGGUGAAAUGCGCAGAUAUCAGGAGGAACACCGGUGGCGAAGGCGGUUCUCUGGGAAUGACCUGACGCUGAGGAGCGAAAGUGUGGGGAGCGAACAGGAUUAGAUACCCUGGUAGUCCACACCGUAAACGUUGGGCGCUAGGUGUGGGGUCCAUUCCACGGAUUCCGUGCCGCAGUAACGCAU